Molecule: ribosomal RNA, 1371 nt
Filed under: Triticum aestivum (bread wheat)
Lineage: Eukaryota; Viridiplantae; Streptophyta; Magnoliopsida; Poales; Poaceae
Description: partial small subunit ribosomal RNA
Source: RNAcentral
AUGGCGACGCAAGAAAAAGAAGAGGCACCCCACGCCGUCGGCCGCCGGGUCGUCUUGUUCCCGCUGCCGUUCCAGGGCCACCUCAGCCCCAUGCUCCAGCUGGCCGAGCUCCUCCGCGCCCGCGGCCUGCCCGUCACCGUCCUCCACACCGACUUCAACGCGCCUGACCCUACACGGCACCCAGAGCUUGCCUUCGUCCCGAUCCACGAGGCGCUUCCCACCUCAGCCACCUCCCCCGACGCCGACAUCGUCGCGCAGCUCCUGGCCCUCAACAGCGGUUGCGAGGCGCCCUUCCGGGAGGCCCUGGCAUCGCUGCUGCGCCGCGAGGACGUGGCCUGCGCCGUCGUCGACGGGCAGUGGUACGCGGCGCUGGGGGCGGCGAGCGCGCUCGGCGUCCCCGUGCUCGCGCUCCGCACGGACAGCGCCGCCACGUUCGGCAGCUUGCUUGCGUUCCCUCGGCUGCGCGACGCCGGCUACGUCCCAAUCAAAGUUGCAGAGGAGCGACGGGACGAGCUUGUGCCGGAGCUGGAGCCGCUCCGCGUGCGCGACCUCAUCCGCAUCGACGGCAGCGACGUGGACGCGCUGUGCGGCUUCAUCUCCCGCGUCGCCGACGCCGCGCGGGCCUCCGCGUCAGGGGUCGUGCUCAACUCGUUCGACGCCAUCGAGGCGCCGGAGCUGGCCAGGAUAGAGAAGGAGCUGUCCUGUCCGGCGUUCGCGGUCGGCCCGCUGCACAGGAUGUGCCCCGGGCCGGCACCGGCGGAGCACGGCCUGCACGCGCCAGACCGCGGCUGCCUGGCGUGGCUGGACGCGCACCCGGCGCGCUCCGUGCUGUACGUGAGCCUGGGGAGCGUCGCUCGCGUCGACCGCGGCGUGUUCGAGGAGAUGGCGUGGGGGCUGGCGGGCAGCGGCGUGCCGUUCCUGUGGGUCGUCCGGCCCGGCUCCGUUCGCGGCGGCGGCGCCGACGAACCACCCAACGGGCUCGACGAGGAAGCCAGGAGCAGGGGGAAGGUGGUGGCAUGGGCGCCGCAGCUGGAGGUCCUGGCCCACGAGGCCGUCGGCGCCUUCUGGACGCACUGCGGCUGGAACUCAACGCUGGAGAGCGUGUGCGCCGGCGUGCCGAUGCUCGCGCAGCCGUGCUUCGCGGACCAGACGGUGAACGCGAGGUACGUGACGCACCGGUGGGGCGUCGGGCUGGAGGUGGGAGACGUGAUCGACAGGGUCAGGGUCGCCGAGAGGGUGAGGAUGGUGAUGCUCGGGGAAGAAGGGGAUCGGGCGAGGGAGAAGGUGCGUGACCUCAAGCUGCAAGCAGACCAGUGUGUUGCUGCUAGUUUGGCCGUCGACAAUCUCGUGCGGUACGUGCUGUCACUCUGA